GAGUUUGAUCUUGGCUCAGAACGAACGCUGGCGGCAGGCUUAACACAUGCAAGUCGAGCGCUCCGCAAGGGGAGCGGCAGACGGGUGAGUAACGCGUGGGAACCUUCCCAGUGGUACGGAAUAGCUCAGGGAAACUUGGGGUAAUACCGUAUAAGCCCUUCGGGGGAAAGAUUUAUCGCCAUUGGAUGGGCCCGCGUCGGAUUAGCUAGUCGGUGAGGUAACGGCUCACCAAGGCGACGAUCCGUAGCUGGUCUGAGAGGAUGAUCAGCCACACUGGGACUGAGACACGGCCCAGACUCCUACGGGAGGCAGCAGUGGGGAUAUUGGACAAUGGGCGCAAGCCUGAUCCAGCCAUGCCGCGUGCAGGAAGACGGUCCUAUGGAUUGUAAACUGCUUUUGUACGGAGAACACUCCUACGUGUAGGAGCUUGACGGUACCGUAAGAAUAAGGAUCGGCUAACUCCGUGCCAGCAGCCACCGU
RNAcentral lists this ribosomal RNA (480 nucleotides) under uncultured Alphaproteobacteria bacterium. Its description in RNAcentral is "bacterial SSU rRNA". It matches the Rfam family "Bacterial small subunit ribosomal RNA", at positions 9 to 521 of the family's 1533-position model. Lineage: Bacteria; Pseudomonadati; Pseudomonadota; Alphaproteobacteria. The record is from RNAcentral.